RNAcentral lists this ribosomal RNA (563 nucleotides) under uncultured bacterium. RNAcentral describes it as "bacterial SSU rRNA". It matches the Rfam family "Bacterial small subunit ribosomal RNA", at positions 338 to 916 of the family's 1533-position model. The record is from RNAcentral.
CCUACGGGAGGCAGCAGUGGGGAAUCUUGCGCAAUGGGCGAAAGCCUGACGCAGCAACGCCGCGUGCGGGAAGAAGGCUUUCGGGCUGUAAACCGCUUUCAGCAGGAACGAAAAUGACGGUACCUGCAGAAGAAGGAGCGGCCAACUAUGUGCCAGCAGCCGCGGUGAUACAUAGGCUUCAAGCGUUGUCCGGAUUUAUUGGGCGUAAAGAGUUCGUAGGCGGUCGAGUAAGUCGGGUGUGAAAAUUCUGGGCUCAACCCAGAGACGCCACCCGAUACUGCUUAACUUGAGUUCGAUAGGGGAGUGGGGAAUUCCUAGUGUAGCGGUGAAAUGCGCAGAUAUUAGGAGGAACACCGGUGGCGAAGGCGCCACUCUGGAUCGAUACUGACGCUGAGGAACGAAAGCAUGGGUAGCAAACAGGAUUAGAUACCCUGGUAGUCCAUGCCGUAAACGGUGGGCACUAGGUGUGGGAUUCUAUUAACGAAUUCCGCGCCGUCGCUAACGCAUUAAGUGCCCCGCCUGGGGAGUACGGUCGCAAGACUAAAACUUAAAUGAAUUGACGG